This 253-nucleotide ribosomal RNA is filed under the name uncultured bacterium. RNAcentral's name for it is "partial 16S ribosomal RNA". It matches the Rfam family "Bacterial small subunit ribosomal RNA", at positions 524 to 776 of the family's 1533-position model. The record is from RNAcentral.
UACAGAGGUCCCAAGCGUUGUUCGGAUUCAUUGGGCGUAAAGGGUGCGUAGGCGGCGCGGUAAGUCGGGUGUGAAAUCUCGGAGCUUAACUCCGAAACUGCAUUCGAUACUGCCGUGCUUGAGGACUGGAGAGGAGACUGGAAUUUACGGUGUAGCGGUGAAAUGCGUAGAUAUCGUAAGGAAGACCAGUGGCGAAGGCGGGUCUCUGGACAGUACCUGACGCUGAGGCACGAAGGCCAGGGGAGCAAACGGG